Molecule: ribosomal RNA, 593 nt
Filed under: Hanseniaspora uvarum
Lineage: Eukaryota; Fungi; Ascomycota; Saccharomycetes; Saccharomycodales; Saccharomycodaceae
Description: eukaryotic LSU rRNA
Rfam family: Eukaryotic large subunit ribosomal RNA
Source: RNAcentral
AGCGGAGGAAAAGAAACCAACUGGGAUUACCUUAGUAACGGCGAGUGAAGCGGUAAAAGCUCAAAUUUGAAAUCUGGUACUUUCAGUGCCCGAGUUGUAAUUUGUAGAAUUUGUCUUUGAUUAGGUCCUUGUCUAUGUUCCUUGGAACAGGACGUCAUAGAGGGUGAGAAUCCCGUUUGGCGAGGAUACCUUUUCUCUGUAAGACUUUUUCGAAGAGUCGAGUUGUUUGGGAAUGCAGCUCAAAGUGGGUGGUAAAUUCCAUCUAAAGCUAAAUAUUGGCGAGAGACCGAUAGCGAACAAGUACAGUGAUGGAAAGAUGAAAAGAACUUUGAAAAGAGAGUGAAAAAGUACGUGAAAUUGUUGAAAGGGAAGGGCAUUUGAUCAGACAUGGUGUUUUUUGCAUGCACUCGCCUCUCGUGGGCUUGGGCCUCUCAAAAAUUUCACUGGGCCAACAUCAAUUCUGGCAGCAGGAUAAAUCAUUAAGAAUGUAGCUACUUCGGUAGUGUUAUAGCUUUUUGGAAUACUGUUAGCCGGGAUUGAGGACUGCGCUUCGGCAAGGAUGUUGGCAUAAUGGUUAAAUGCCACCCGUCUUG